Molecule: long non-coding RNA, 1016 nt
Filed under: Hordeum vulgare
Lineage: Eukaryota; Viridiplantae; Streptophyta; Magnoliopsida; Poales; Poaceae
Description: long non-coding RNA (HVUL_LNC012635)
Source: RNAcentral
UAGGUUCAUUAUUAGUACCAUGCUUUCUGAAAUGCAAAGUUAAUAUAUUUAACUUUUUUCCAGAUAUCUUUUCGCAUCGUACAAACUAGGACAUAUAUUGACUCGUAAAGUUCAUAUCAUCCCAUCAUCAAGUUAAUCUUAUCUCUGUUUAGUCCGCAUGCUAAGUUUGUCUUAAGUCAACUUUCUAAACUUCAACAAAAGUUCAUUGAGAAAAACACCAGCAUUCACAAUACCCAAACAAUAUCACUAGAUUCAUCAUAGAAUAUAUCUUCAGUACUGUAGAUGUUGAUACUUCUCAAAAAGAAACGGGAGGACUAUUUUUUUCCAUAGUUAUAGCGUUGUUUUUAAUACGGCUAUUUUAUCUUAGAUGGUGCGCCGUGAACUUCUUUGACUCUGCAUUGUCUUGAAUUUAGUGCAUGGCUGAAUUUGUAGUGUGGUUGUGGUAAACUGUCAUUAUUAAGGUGUAAUUUUGAAUGUUGACCUUUUGUCUGGGUUAGUUAUCGGUCUCUUUCCAAAGCUUUGGUGGCACUUUGAUUUGUCGAAAAAAUAACAACUAUUUGAAGAAUGUUCUACCGGAUAGUCAUGUACCUGAUAUUAGUUGUGUCUUUUCUCUUUUGAGGUAACCGCAAAAAUUGCAAGCUUGAAAAGAUGAACUUGUAUGUGGUCUGGGACUUGGUGGUGUAUUUGGUAUCUUGCACUUUUUUUAGAUCUCUAGCAUGCAUCUUUGCUAUUUAUGUGCUAUUUUUUCCCUUAUAGUGCAUUAAUACACAGAACUACUUUUUGUAUUUUUUUUCCUUAGUGCGUAAUUUAUGUUUCUUUUCUUUUUGUAUUUAGCUCUUAUGUUUACUAGUUCUACUUGGUUGUCGCUCAUGAAAAUCUCUGCACCGCAGUUAUCCAUGCUCGAGUAUAAUUAACUUAAAACAUCUUAGAAUUAUGUGAAGUUGUCUGUAUCCCAUACCAUAUUGAGGUCUGUCCACAUUUUGGUUAUAAUAAGGCUUGUCCGUCUAAGAUAGUUG